UUGAAAAGGGAGUAUAUAUUUCUUUUAGGGAUAAUACCCUUGGCUUAUGAAAUUCAUGUAGAAUUUUACUUUAAAGAAGAACCAUCAAUUCAGUUCAGAGCCAGAUUGUUGCGACCGGAAAGUUGAAGGGGCAGCUCCUUGUAAAUCAGAAUAGGUUCACUGACCUGAGCAAGGUUGUACUUAUUUAAACCAGGGUAGGCCCACUUCCAAUCAUUUUAGAAGUCUGGGUAUCAAUAGAAAUACUCCUAUGAUUUUAGUUCAGUGUUAGGGAAAGGAGUUGUCCCUUCUGAGCCUCUAGGAGCUGAAGGAGUAUGCUGGUAGGAGAGAGUGGGGAGCUGAAAUGGUUGAAUUCAGAAGUUAAAUGGACUGGUCUGUGUUUGGGGUUCACUAAGCAGAUAAAGCAAGAUGCAGGCUGAGAGCUUAGUUAAAGAGGGAAAACUUUUUUUUUUUAAGCUAGAAAACUUUAAGAAGUGAAACUGCAAUGAAUUAAUCUGAAGGCACAGAGAUAACAAAAAUAAGUUAUUCAUCCAUAUACACAUACAUGCAUACGUAUGCUUGUAUAAUCUGCAGAAAUGUCAAAAUAUAGGGCGAUAGCCAGGACAUUACUCGCAGAGGCUAUCAAAAGCUUUUAUGGGAACUACAUAUACAGCUCCCAGGAUGUACCCACAGCUGUCUGCAUCUGCUCUCCAAGAAGAGGAUCACCUUGUCUACAGCAGCAGGGCAAAUAGGAGAUGGCAGCAAUUUUGCGAUAGGAGGCUAGGAGAAAGGAGAUGCUCAGAUGACAAAGGGGAGCUGAGUAACACAAUGACCUUAUGUCCCUUCUCUCUAUGUGGUACUUGCGAUGUCCCUGAAUGA
Molecule: long non-coding RNA, 855 nt
Filed under: Struthio camelus australis
Lineage: Eukaryota; Metazoa; Chordata; Aves; Struthioniformes; Struthionidae
Description: lncRNA (ENSSCUG00000012102.1)
Source: RNAcentral